Molecule: ribosomal RNA, 400 nt
Filed under: uncultured bacterium
Lineage: Bacteria
Description: bacterial SSU rRNA
Rfam family: Bacterial small subunit ribosomal RNA
Source: RNAcentral
GGGGAAUAUUGCACAAUGGGCGCAAGCCUGAUGCAGCGACGCCGCGUGGAGGAUGAAGGCCUUCGGGUCGUAAACUCCUGUCUGGGGGGAUGAAAACUGACAGUACCCCCGGAGGAAGCCCCGGCUAACUACGUGCCAGCAGCCGCGGUAAUACGUAGGGGGCGAGCGUUGUCCGGAAUUACUGGGCGUAAAGCGCGCGCAGGCGGCUUGUUAAGUCAGGUGUCAAAAUGCGGGGCUCAACCCCGUAUCGCACUUGAAACUGGCAGGCUUGAGUGCAGGAGAGGGAAGUGGAAUUCCUAGUGUAGCGGUGAAAUGCGUAGAUAUUAGGAGGAACACCAGUGGCGAAGGCGACCUCCUGGACUGUAACUGACGCUGAGGCGCGAAAGCUAGGGGAGCAAAC